AGGUAGAUUUUCUCCAGUUCUCUCGAAGUAAGAAGAUUCUGCAAUGAAAAGACAUGGAGUGGAGGACAGGACGUGAAACACAUAUAUGGCCUUUUCCGAUAUAUUCUGUCUGGCUACUGCCUACCUCUACACUCUUCUUUCUAGGGACUUCCCUCCCAUUACAGAAACACAGGGCUUCGAGUCUCCAGGUGUUGGUGAGUGCUCUUCUCUCUGAACAUGAUGCCCCUAUGUCAGGACCUGUCCGCACAGAGGUGCAACGGGCUUUUCUCCUGACUGUGAAAGAAGCAGACUUUGCCUCCAUUUGCACAUUCAUUUCAAUAUUCCUCAUCUAGACGUGUGCCAGCUCUUUGGAUUCUUCCGGUUUUAACAUCUGCCCAGUUCCCUCACUGACUCAUGAGCUACAUGAAAUUUGGAGCACAUGGCUAUUUUCUAUCUGUAUGGGAGUCAUAAUAUUAUCCUUAUUUGAAAAUGAUCAUUAGCGAAAGUGAGUUUUGACCAGAGCCCAUGCUCUUUGCUCUCAUCCUGUUCAUCAACCAACCAUCACUGAACACCUACUUAGUUCCAGGCCCCCGUGUUGGGUGCUGGGGGCCAACGAUGAGUAAAACAUGGUUCCUACCAUCCAGCGACUCCAGGUCACAAUACUGAGACAGGCAGAACACACAUAGAAGCUGUGGGAGCAAAGUGAGGAGUCCCUAGCCCCCACUUGGAACAUGGAGAAAGUUUCCUGAGAAUCCAGUAAUAAUUAAGAUAAUAAGAUAAUCGCAUUACAACAGAUACUAAACUUCAAUCCAAAAACAUUGGACAAAAUAUAAUUUUAUGGUGACUGGUACUUAAGUGAAGUGAGGUAAACCUUGGCAACAUCUGGUUUCUUAUGAGAUAUGUUAGUAAUGACACUUGGCCUAUGCUACAUUUUAAAUAACAACGUACCAUUUUCCAAAGAAUAUAGAUCAAUGCUCCCAAAUCCCGUGUACAUAACUGAUUAGUUGGCAUUGUUCAAACAAUAAUCAUCAAACAGCCAUCCCUAUGGGGAAAAAAAAAAAGUACAUAGCUACACAACAACAGGACCAGGCCAAAGGAAAUGCAAGUAUGUGUGGAUUUGAAAUUAAAACUAAGACACACAUAUAUCUAACUGAGCUCAGGACUGGUUAUCCCCAUGCAAGCUCAUCUCUUCACCAGGUCAACUGAUUUUAUUCAUCUUUGUAUUCCAAGUGCCAUGCCCAAUUCAUUUAUUCACUUAUUCAUCCAUUAUCUGCUGACCCCUCAUUCAUUCUAAAAUCUGAAUGCCCAUUUGGGUCGAUAGAUGCUUGAGGGGGUAUGUAAUGAAAGAAGACUCAAUUCUUGUCUUCAAAAGUCUCACAGCCUUGUGGAUAGGGAUGGGGGGCAAGGUCUACAUGUAAAUACCCAUAAGGCAAAGUAGUUGUGUUCUACUCUAGGUUAUAUUUAGAGGGAGGGAAGAGCAGAGUAGAUAGUGAUAACUUGGGUGUGAGUAGGCAGAGAAGUUUCUACCAAAGUGAAGAUGCAAGGUGAGGCUGGGCCAGACAAAUCUGACAUGGAAGCUCAUUCCCAUUUUCAAAAGCAUGUGUUUCAAGAACAUCGUUAAAGUAUAAUGUUUGCAAAGCUAAAAGCGUGCCUUUCCUACACAUGUAAAACAGUGUCGAAGAUUUCAUUCAUCUCCUUAAUUAACAAGAUGUUAAAACUAGUUCAAAUGAGAAAUUAAUGUAAGAGUAAGAUUCAAGAUUGGAUACAAACCUGGUUAAUGUCUCACAGGCCAAAAAACAGUGAUCUUCCGGUUAUUUAGAGAGGAUCCUGACCAUGCUGCACUUACCUGUAGGUUCAGCGAGCUGGGCUAAACACCCUACUCAACAUCCACCUGUCUUGGGGUUGUGUGAACCCCUCCAGUCGAGCUCGCAAUGAUCCUGGCGGGGAAACUGAUUGGAUGACAAAAGGUCUCAACCAUCCUUGUUCUUUGUGUCCCUUUUUCCUAGGUUUUACUUGAAGGAUAUAAUGAAAGUUUAUAGGAAAGAAGUAUUUAGGCAUUUGGUAUUUAGUAAAGGGAAACACAUCAUAUUUUAAGGUCCAUGGUGUCAUAAAAAUUAACUAUAAUUUGGAAAUAGGUGUUAGAUCAUACUGGGUGUUCUCCCAGUGCAGUUCUGGGCUUUGAGCCUUGAUUGGCUUUCUAGUGACUGGGCUGUUACUAUAAAUUCUGUAAGGGCUGAAGUUAACUUGCAGUUUUCCUUUCCUUUCCUUUCCUUUCCUUUCCUUGUUUCCUUUCCUUUGUUUAUUUUUCUUUUCCUUUCUUUAUUUACUUUUUAUUUUAUUUUGUUUUUGGUAGAGAUGCAAGAUUUCUGACUGUAUUGAGCUCACAUGGUUCGCACUACAAUGACCUCAAUGGUAUUUCAAUGGCAGCGAGUUUACCCAGUUUGGGGCUUUUCCAUGUCAAAAGUAGUGGUGGGAACAGCACAAUGAGUUGGUUUGCCAAAUCUCACUCUCCCUCCCCAGAGCUUUGAGAAGAUUCAACCAGCACAGAAUAAGAGAGGGGCUGGUGUUUUUAAGAAAUAACUUGUUAUGACUGACAAGUUAUUUGGGGCAUGGGGGCAAUGGGGCAAAGUGGUAUGAACAAGUUGUGACUUGUGUUCAUGAGCGUGCAGAUUCUGAAUCCUGGACCUGAAUGAAAGGCAAGGGAUUACCCCCAGGCGGGGGUGGGGAGGUGUUAACCAGAGUGAGACGUAGUCCAUUGUGCAUGUUAGCAGGACUGCUCUGAAAUAUUGGGGGCAUGACACUCACCUGGGGGGGAUGGCGAUUAUUCUCAGGUGGAUGAUAAGGGCUUGAGUAUUUUAGAGAAAUAUUGAAAUGGCAGAAUUCACAGAGUUGGUAACAAUUCAUUUGCAGAGGGAAAGAAAAGCUGAGAAUCUCUCGUAGUUUUUAAAUGGGAUUAUCUGAGAGGAAAGUGGUGUCCUUUAAAAAAAUAGAAAUUAAAAGCAGGUUUAGGAAAAUGGGUUGAAGAUGACAAUUUUGGUCCCAGACAUAGGCACUGGUAAAGGUUGAGACAUGUCAGUGAACUGGAGAGAAUCAGAGGGCCUAUUGGCUCUUUGUUUUCCACGAAGGGCCUGCCUUGGAAUAACAUAGCCCUUGUAAGUCUUUAUAGAAGCAACACAAUCUGAGGCUCGCGUGGCAAUUCUGGCAGAACGUGAAGCUUCCACGGUCCUUUGGCCAAUUAUUUAUGAGGAUUUGAGUACCUGCCGUGUGUCAGGAAUGUGCUAGGGACUACUCAAACAUUGUCUCUGUCCUUUGAAAGUUCAGAGUAUCUGAGAAGUUAGCAAGAGCAGGUAAGAGUGGGGGGCCAGGAGGGGGCAGGAGCGUCACAGAGAGGAGCCCACCCUUCUCCUGGCUGUGGGCAUUCACUCUCUCCAGGGGCACAAGGUCAGCUGGCCACAGGGUUUAUGUGCCGCCUUCCUCUGAUACAAGAAGUCACUUGCAGGAGGAAGGGGAGAAAGUAACUAAAAAUAAAGUGGUUUCUGAUUUGAGUGCGUUGUGACAGUCUUUAGGUCAUUUUAAGGAACAAGUGCCUGUGUUCAUGCAGGAAGAACUUGGAAAUCAGCAGCCAUAGAUGAUUUGAGUCACAAAAUGUUCAAGGCCUGAACCAGGCUUCUAGACAUCCUUCAGACAUUGCUUCUCCCUAAGGGGAAGAGAGAACCUAAUUUCCAUUCUCUCUUCUCUCCCCUAGUCUCCCUCUCUCUUCUCUCUCACCCACCCUGGCGCCCUGCCUCUCUCCCUCCCUCCCACCUUCCCACCACCUCCUUCUUUCUGGAACAUGGGUGCUAAGAAAUAAACUGAUUUAAUCCCCUUACUCCCCAGUCCAUAUAGCAUAAUAUCACCAAAAGUUCAGGUUUAGGGACAAGGUCUGAAGCCUUUUAAAGGCUGCAUUAUCUUUUCCAGCAGCCCUUAUUGGAGGGAGGUGAGGCUUUCCAACUACCCAUCUCAGUCUCCCAAAGACUACCCUGUCCGUGAAGCCUCAGCCCAAUUAGAAAUGACCCUCUGUCCUUGAAGCUCGCAUCACGCUUGACCUGCAUCUCUCUUUCUUUUCUGUUUCUCAUAAGAACAACCUGCAUAGAUAGUGAGUUUCACUGGGGCAUCCCUAGUGCCUGGCAUAAUACCAGGAACACAGCAGGUGCUCAUAGUCUUUGAUGGAUGAGGGAAUUUACCACUGACUCCUCAACACCUAUCACAGUGCUGACCACCUACGAGGCUCUCCGUGGUUACUGAAUGAAUGCAUAAACAUAAACUCGGCUUUUCUCUCUAACAGAUAUUAGAGACUGGGUGAGUGGUUACUGUAUGGUUACUCCUUCCCCACUCCACUCCCAUCCCUGAGCCCAGGUUAGCACUUUGUUAGUACUGGGCACAGACUGAAAAACACUAUUUUGAUGAGGAACUCUCUGUACUUGGCAACUUUCAUAUAAUUCUAAAAUUAUUCCACGAUAUGAAUUAAUUAGAAAACUUAAUUUGUUCUUCCUUUGGAAAUUUUCUUCUACCGGUUAACCACCAGAAUACUUGGGAAGUUCUGUUUUAUAGCUCUUUUCAUUGAGAACCCUGCUUUUUAUUUAACAAUUUACAUGUAUUUAUGUGAAAAACCAUUUAUAUAACAUUCAUCCUGUGCCAAGAACCAUUCUGGGUUCUUUAUAAAUAUAACUCACUGAAUCCUCGUAAGAGUCCUGUGGUAGUGAUAUUCUCUUCUUACAAAUGAAAAAUUGAGGCAUGGAGGAGUUACAUAAUAGGCAUCAGGAGGCACCAGGCAGCAUAACGGCUGGUCAUCUUAGGAUGUUGUUCUUUUCCUGGGACUUCUUUUCUCGUGUGCUGAGACACAGUCUCUGUCCAUUCAGCCUGAAUAACGCAGUGUAUGAGCUUCUGUCACGGCAGAGCUCCUGAACAAAGGCAGUAUCACACAGCUCAGAAAGAAAGGCCACCACGUUUGAUUGUCCCUGCACACUUCAUGGAAGAAAGAAUGAUCUCUCUCUCCAUCAGUCUGCACGCGAAGCCAACUUCAUGUCCAUUCUCAGCUACUGAGUCCCGGCCAAAGGCUAGCCUGGCUGACCUCGUAUAUUGUGUGUUUUUCUAACUCUCUGAGUCAGCUCAUCCAUUCCCAAAUGUUUUAACUGUUCCUUUUAUGCUGACCACUCUCCCCAAAUUCUGUCUGCAAACAUGUCCUCUGAGAUCUGGUCCUGUGUGUCCCCUGCCCUGUUGUGCAGCUGAGAUCGCCAUCCCUUGGGUCACCCAAGCUGCCUUUGUGACCUCAUCUUCCACCUCCUGUGCUGAUCUGCUCCCCUACCACAACCUCCCACCUGCAGGUUCAGAUGCUUCUAACUCUUUUCAAUCCAUGGCCCGGGCUCUUCCUUUCUCUCUUCCUGAAAUAAACUCUAAUCCCUGGUCCAUCUGGUAGAUUCCUAUCUAUAUUUCAUAACUCAUCCCAAAUGUCUUCUUCUCUUAGAAACUUCCCUUGAUGUUUCUAGGUUGCAGAGGAGUUGCUUCUGGGGCUCUACUGACUGUCAAUGGUAUGAAUUCCCCAUGCCACCAGUUCCCAAGUCUGGCCUAAAAUGAUUCUGUACAAUUUUUCUCAGGAUUUUCAUUUUUUGUUUAAUUGACAAACAUAAGCUGAACUACACAGACCUUAGAUGAGUUUUAACAAACACCAACACUCACAAAAUAAACACAUCAAUUAAGAAUGAGAACAUUAUCAGCAGCCUGGACUACUCCCUCAUCUCUACCAGCCAAUUCCCAUCUCUAGCCCCAUAGACAACCAUCGUCCCAUACCUUUUGGCAAAGAUUCAACCUGUGAUUUUCAAUUUCAUAUAAGCAGAAUCUUACAGUAUCUCUUUCUUUUUGUCUGGCUUCUUUCAUUCGACAUGUUUUUGAGAUUAAUCCUUGUUGUUUCAUAUAUCAGUAGUUUAGUUUUUAUUACUGAGUAAUAUUCCAUUGUAUGAAGAUACCAUAGUUUGUCCAUUCUCCUGUUGAUGGACAUUUGGGUUGUUCCCAGUUCUGUGCCAUUAUAAAUAAAGCCACUGAAAACAUUCUUCUACAAGUCUUUUGUGAACGUAUGUUUUUACUUCUCUUAGAUAAAUAGCCUUUCAAAGUGUCUGAU
This is a long non-coding RNA of Acinonyx jubatus (cheetah), 6133 nucleotides long. RefSeq lists it as uncharacterized. The record is from RefSeq and is a predicted model, not a curated record. NCBI's taxonomy places the organism in Eukaryota, Metazoa, Chordata, Mammalia, Carnivora, Felidae. The transcript has 3 exons.